This is a long non-coding RNA of Oryzias latipes (Japanese medaka), 1691 nucleotides long. RefSeq lists it as uncharacterized. The record is from RefSeq and is a predicted model, not a curated record. Lineage: Eukaryota; Metazoa; Chordata; Actinopteri; Beloniformes; Adrianichthyidae.
UCCUCCUAAUGGAAAACAGGUAUUGCUCAAUGUACCAUGAGCUAUUGGACUCGUGAGCAUAAUAAAAUCAAUAGCAGCUUUUUUGGUGCUCCUUUGCCAAAAACAAAAACCAAACGCCCCCUUGGAAGGGAAAAUGCCAACAUUUCUAUCAGACUAACAAUAAGAAAUAGGACUGAGUUCAGAGAAGUGAAGGUUUCUGCUGAGACCAGCUCAAACUAGCUCAGGACCUCAGUGGGAAGGUGGCAGCUGCCUUCAAGAACUGUUGUGUUGUGUGUGUCUUAAAGGCAUCACAACAAGCCUUUCCUGAGUUUGGCUGUCCACCCAAGCAGCUGAAGAUCAUGGACAGCAGUCCGGAAGACCUGAACUGCAGCCGGCUGAUGGGGAGGGGAGGCCCUUCUUUUGUGAACAGCUGAACAAUCAUCCAACUCAGGACAGAAAACUGCUUUUUUUUCUUCUUCUUCUUCUUCUAACUGGGCAUUCUUGCCCCUCAAGCAGCCUGAACUGUCUCCAUGGAAAGGAUGGACAGCCAACUGGCUCGCCGUAUUUCGUUAUUGACAUGCACUAAUAGUGUGCAGCCAAUUGAAUGCAUUUGGCCGACGUUGGUUAAGUGACCUGGCUUCAAAAAUGUGGACACGGUCAACAGAUUGAGUGAUGUUUGCCUUGCAGACGGUGGGACUGCUCGCUCCAGUUAACGUCACUGUAACCAGGAAGUGCUGGAGAGAACAAUUACUGAUGAGGCAGACAACAGCAAGAUUUAGAAGAUGAGGAAGGUCUUUGGUUAAAAAAAUACAAAUAAAAAGAUGCUGACAUCUCAAUUGGGAAAAUUACAACAGGACGAUGGGCUAAAUUUAACCGGUGAUGACGCAUCAGGCAGUAAAUAAAAUGAUCUCCGUGGAGAACCUCAGGUUUAUGUCGGAUUUAAUCUCUAAAUGUAACGCAAAAGAGACAUUUUUUGGCACAUAAAACUUCCUUUUAUCAAAUAAACAUGACCUUUAUAGACCUUGCUGGACAAAAUAAAUAUAUAUUUUUACAGUAAAACAUUUGAUUUCAAAGUUCCACUUUCAAUAAUAGAUGAGGACUAAACUGGCAAAAUAUUUGAAAAUAGAUUUACAAAAUCAGUGUUUAAAAGACAAAUGGCUUUCCAAUGAAAAGGGUUUGUUGCAUUUGAAUCUGCACCUUUAUGGAAUUGUAUUAAUUCAGUUACCCGGUCUGUUUCGUUAGCACGAUAAAACACAUCAGCAUCCUGUUUGGAAAAUCUAAAAGAGGCGUUUUUUAAACGAAUAAUAGUUCUUCACUCUAAAGGUGCUUUUUAAACAAUAAAAACAGAUUUUUUUUUCUGGGAAACAAAAUCAAGUCAACACGCUAAAUGCUUGGAAGAAAUGUUUCUACUGUACAACGUGAAACAGACAAAACAAGUUCAGCAUGUUUGAACAAACUGUCAAGAGAACACUGAUUCUCUUCAAGAGACUACAGAAAGCAGGUAGCAACGAUGGAUAGCCGUGAAAAAUAAAUCUAAUACCUCCAGCUGUGAAGCAUGGUGGCGGAGGAUUAGUAAUUUGAAAUCUUGACGUUUUUGACGUUAUGAAGGGAUUUAAAGUACAACACAGUGGCUCUCUGAAAUACUUUAUCCUGACACUGUUACUAAAGUCAUAGAAUGGCAAUAAAAAAUGUUUUUGAUUCUCUUUUUUUAA